CUCCUUUAUCUAAUCAGUGAAACUAAUCUCCCCGUGAAGAAGCGAGGAUAACACUAUAAGACGAGAAGACCCCAUGGAGCUUUAAACCCAAAUAUAUCCCCAAUCCCUACAACCAUUUAAUCCUUUGGGUCCUAUAUACUUGGUUUUAGGUUGGGGCGACCACGGAGUAAAACUAAACCUCCAUGAUGUACGGAACAACCUCCUUAUCUAAGAGCCACAGCUCUAAGAAUUAGCACACUAUCAUAAAAUGACCCAUUAUUGAUCAACGAACCAAGUUACCCUGGGGAUAACAGCGCAAUCCAUUUUAAGAGCCCCUAUCGACAAAUGGGUUUACGA
Molecule: ribosomal RNA, 336 nt
Filed under: Mantidactylus femoralis
Lineage: Eukaryota; Metazoa; Chordata; Amphibia; Anura; Mantellidae
Description: partial 16S ribosomal RNA
Rfam family: Bacterial large subunit ribosomal RNA
Source: RNAcentral